CCUGCCUCUGCCUCCCGAAGUGUUGGGAUUAUAAGCGUGAGCCACCAUGCCCAACUCUGGUAGUUCUUUAUAGGAAUGUGAGAACAGACUAAUACGCCAGUUCUUAGAAAAUACCCAUUGAAGUAUUUAGGAGUAAACAGCCAUGACACAUGUAACUGACUUCCAAAUAAUGUUUAAAAAAAUUAUGAGAGAGGAGUGGGGAGCACAUGAUCAACCAGUAAAGCUGACGGGUUAAAAUGUUAAUAAUCAGUGAAUCUAGGUAAAGAGUUUAUAAAUGUUCCUUGUACAUUUUUUUGUAAACUUGAAACUACAUCCGAAUGAAAAGCUAAAACAAAAGCCAUUUCUUUAUCGCCGUGUUUUGGGUUCUGCCAUAAUCAGAAUGUCUGCCCCCUAAGCCAACUCCAUUCCCACUGCGAUGGGAUGAAAACUGGGGACACCAAGAGGCAGAGCCCAGGGUUGCCCAGGCUUACUCUCCUUUUAUUUCCCAUCUGUGCUUUGCUGAGCAAUGUCCAGGAAUUUUUUGCAUUGCUCUUGCCCUCUGUCUGAAGGUGGGAUUCUUCAGGUGCCCAAAGUCUCCUGGACCCCAAAGCAGGUACUGCUCCCUCUGUGUCUGAAGAGGACACAGCAAAGCUGCCUCUCCCUUUUAGCACAAUGGGUUUGGCAUGUUUCCACCCAUGUUUUUUAACUGUGGGCCUUUGGGACUCAUCAUCAUCUCUGAUUACCUUUUCCAGGAGACUGAGGGACAUGCUUCAUCUUAAUUUUUAAAGAAACUUAAGACCCAAACAAACAGGUAGUAAUAUUUCUUAGGACUUGGUGAGGCUUCGUCCCCAGGAUUCACUUCAUCAUCAGGACCACAGGAGAGACUCAGGAAAGGAACGCUUGGGGAAACAGAUCCAAAUACAGAUGCUGAAAGUAGGCUCCAAGGCAGUAAAGCUGCACCUGCUUCGGCAGCACAUAUACUAAAAUUGGAACGAUACAGAGAAGAUUAGCGUGGCCCCUUAAAUAAAUACAUAGAAACAAAAGCAGUAAAGCUGUGAUAAACACGCCAGUGCCGAUGUCUGGUGGAACUACUCACAAUAGCAAAGACAUGGAACCAACCUAGGUGCACACCAAUGGUGCAUUGGAUAAAGGUAAUGUGGUGCAUAUACACUAUGAAAUUCUACACAGCUAUUAAAAAGAAUGAAAUCGUGUCCUUUUGUUUGUUUGUUGAGACGAAGUCACCUAGGCGGGAGUCUAGUGGCAUGAUCUUGGCUCACUGCAACCUCCACCUCCUGGGUUCGAGCAAUUCUCCUGCCUCAGCCUCCUGAGUAGCUGGGAUUAUAGGCACAUGCCACCACACUCAGCUACUUUUUUUCAUUGUUGUUGUAUUUUUAGUAGAAAUGGGGUUUCACCACAUUGGCCAGGCUGGUCUCAAACUCCUGAGCUCAGGUGAUCUGCCCACCUCAGCCUCCUAAAGUGCUGGGAUUACAGGCGUGAGCCACCGUGCCCGGCCUUGAAAUCAUGUCCUUUGCAACGGCAUGGAUGCAGCUGGAGGCCAUUUUCCU
RNAcentral lists this long non-coding RNA (1544 nucleotides) under Homo sapiens (human). Lineage: Eukaryota; Metazoa; Chordata; Mammalia; Primates; Hominidae. The record is from RNAcentral.